UAUGUUAAUCAAGACCUUGCAGUUGUCGGCAUCAAGACCCACAUCAUCAGAAACAAAUCCAAUAGAGCGGCAUGUGUCACGGACAAUCUUCUCAUAGUCUACAUUGGCUUUGGAGAGUUCACAACUAAAG
Long non-coding RNA from Hibiscus syriacus, 130 nucleotides. RefSeq lists it as uncharacterized. NCBI's taxonomy places the organism in Eukaryota, Viridiplantae, Streptophyta, Magnoliopsida, Malvales, Malvaceae. The record is from RefSeq and is a predicted model, not a curated record. The transcript has 4 exons.